Molecule: transfer RNA, 74 nt
Filed under: Ophirina amphinema
Lineage: Eukaryota; Jakobea; Jakobida; Ophirinidae
Description: tRNA-Met (elongator)
Rfam family: tRNA
About the family: Transfer RNA (tRNA) molecules are approximately 80 nucleotides in length.
Source: RNAcentral
GACGAUGUAGCUCAGUUGGUUAGAGCGGUGGAAUCAUAAUCCAUAGGUCGCAGGUUCGAACCCUGCUAUCGUUA